RNAcentral lists this long non-coding RNA (585 nucleotides) under Coffea arabica (coffee). RNAcentral describes it as "long non-coding RNA (CARA_LNC005408)". The record is from RNAcentral. Lineage: Eukaryota; Viridiplantae; Streptophyta; Magnoliopsida; Gentianales; Rubiaceae.
GGAAAAUCUUUCAUUUCAUCUCCAAAUCCAACAAAUAAGUGAGGAAUCGAGCGAAGUAAACCGAUUAAACUUGUUUUCUAGUGACUAACUAGUGAGUGGUGGUGUGAUUCUUGAAGGGGAGAGCUUGUGCUACACUUGGUGACUUUUAUUCAAGGUAAGAGAGUUUAUCUCUCCAAGUUUUGCUUUCAAAUUUGUUAAAUUAAGCUUAGUAGUUUGAUAUUGUGGUAGAAUCAUGAAUGAUGAGUAUGUUUUAGUAGUUUUCCCCAAUUUAUUUGAUGAACUAGGGCUUAUGGAAAUUCUGCCCAAAUGGUUUUAUGAUGCUUAUAUGUUGCAAUUGAGGUGUUAUAUGGUGUUUUGGUAGUGAUUGGACCAAGAAAUUAAGGAAAGAUUCACUAGAAACUCAAAAUUUCCAAAAUCUGGAAAAUUCUCUCCACAUUCUGUCCGAAUUUUUAUCUAUAUGUUAGAGGCUGUUUUGGCCUUAGCUCAAAGAAUAAAAGUUGUAUAGAAUGGCAUUUUAUAGGUGCCUACAAAAUUUCAGCUCAAUCGGAGCAACGUAGGACGUGAAAAGUCCAAAAUACCCCUACU